This 472-nucleotide ribosomal RNA is filed under the name uncultured bacterium. Its description in RNAcentral is "SSU rRNA". It matches the Rfam family "Bacterial small subunit ribosomal RNA", at positions 26 to 518 of the family's 1533-position model. The record is from RNAcentral.
AGGACGAACGCUGGCGGCGUGCUUAACACAUGCAAGUCGAGCGGAAAGGCCCUUCGGGGUACUCGAGCGGCGAACGGGUGAGUAACACGUGAGUAAUCUGCCCCUAGCUCUGGGAUAGCUCCGGGAAACCGGGAUUAAUACCAGAUACGACCACUUUAGACAUCUUCUGUGGUGGAAAGAACUUCGGCUAGGGAUGAACUCGCGGCCUAUCAGCUUGUUGGUGAGGUAACGGCUCACCAAGGCGACGACGGGUAGCCGGCCUGAGAGGGCGACCGGCCACACUGGGACUGAGACACGGCCCAGACUCCUACGGGAGGCAGCAGUGGGGAAUAUUGCGCAAUGGGCGAAAGCCUGACGCAGCGACGCCGCGUGGGGGAUGAAGGCCUUCGGUUGUAACCCCUUUCAGCAGGGACGAAGCGAAAGUGACGGUACCUGCAGAAGAAGCGCCGGCUAACUACGUGCCAGCAGCCGC